GCCCAUAGCUCAGCUGGUAGAGCAUGAGACUCUUAAUCUCAGGGUUGUGGGUUCAAGUUCUGUGUUGGGCA
Podarcis lilfordi (Lilford's wall lizard) is the source of this 71-nucleotide non-coding RNA. The record is from the annotation of a GenBank genome assembly. Lineage: Eukaryota; Metazoa; Chordata; Lepidosauria; Squamata; Lacertidae.